UGGCGUAGUGGUUAACGCGCCCCAACUAGAGAUCGGGGAGCCGUGAGUUCGAUUCUCAC
RNAcentral lists this transfer RNA (59 nucleotides) under Aedes aegypti (yellow fever mosquito). It matches the Rfam family "tRNA", at positions 8 to 63 of the family's 71-position model. From Rfam's summary of the family: Transfer RNA (tRNA) molecules are approximately 80 nucleotides in length. Their secondary structure includes four short double-helical elements and three loops (D, anti-codon, and T loops). Lineage: Eukaryota; Metazoa; Arthropoda; Insecta; Diptera; Culicidae. The record is from Rfam by way of RNAcentral.